ACUGCUCAGUAACACGUGAUCAACUUACCCUUCAGCGGGGCAUAACCUCGGGAAACUGAGGCUAAUUCCCCAUAGUUGGAGCUGCCUGGAACGGUACUCCAUCGAAAGAUACUCCGGAAUGUAGGAGAUUCACUGAAGGAUAGGAUCGCUUUCGAUUAUGGUUGUUGGCGAGGUAAUGGCUCACCAAGCCUAUGAUCGAUAGGGGCCGUGAGAGCGGUAGCCCCGAGAUGGGAACUGAGACAAUGUCCCAGGCCUUACGAGGCGCAGCAGGCGCGAAACCUUUACAAUGCACGCAAGUGUGAUAAGGUUACCCGGAGUGCCGAGAGAAAAUCUUUCGGCUGUUGUGGGUGUGUAAAUAACCCCACCAGAAAGGAGAGGGCAAGGCUGGUGCCAGCCGCCGCGGUAAAACCAGCUCUUCAAGUGGUCGGGAAUAUUAUUGGGCUUAAAGUGUCCGUAGCCGGUUUGAUAAGUUCCUGGUUAAAUCUGGCAGCUUAACUGUCAGUUGGCUGGGAAUACUAUCUUACUAGAGGGUGGGAAAGGUCUGGGGUACUCCAGGGGUAGCGGUGAAAUGCUAUAAUCCUUGGGGGACCACCAGUGGCGAAGGCGCCAGACUGGAACACGCCUGACGGUGAGGGACGAAAGCCAGGGGAGCGAACGGGAUUAGAUACCCCGGUAGUCCUGGCUGUAAACGAUGCGUGCUAGGUGUUGGUAGGGCUAGGAGCCGUAUCAGUGCCGUAGGGAAACUGUUAAGCGCGCCGCCUGGGAAGUACGCUCGCAAGGGUGAAACUUAAAGGAAUUGGCGGGGGAGCACCACAAGGGGUGAAGCCUGCGGUUCAAUUGGAGUCAACGCCGGA
Molecule: ribosomal RNA, 854 nt
Filed under: uncultured archaeon
Lineage: Archaea
Description: bacterial SSU rRNA
Rfam family: Archaeal small subunit ribosomal RNA
Source: RNAcentral